Mirounga angustirostris (Northern elephant seal) is the source of this 1022-nucleotide long non-coding RNA. RefSeq lists it as uncharacterized. The transcript is spliced from 3 exons. NCBI's taxonomy places the organism in Eukaryota, Metazoa, Chordata, Mammalia, Carnivora, Phocidae. The record is from RefSeq and is a predicted model, not a curated record.
GGGUGCACAUGAGUCUCCAGGUCCAAGUCCUACAAGACCCUUUGGGACAAGGGACAGAGGCUGGACCCUCCUCUCCUGGCCUGAGGAUGUGGACAGAGCUAAGGCUAGAUGGGAAGAACUCAGCAUGGAGGAGAAAGGUGGAGCCAUUAGAGAGGGGCACAGAAGAUGAGCAAACGGAGGCUCACAGAGGAUCACCGUGUAAAUGAAAUUGAAGGCAAUGCAAGGCGCUCGGCUUGAUGCCCUGUAUACACGCACACUGCAGUGAGUACCCACUCAACGCACCAGGCUUCCACACCAGCUAUCUGUGUUGAUGUGAACGGAAGGAGCAGGAGGGCAGAUGCUCAUCUGUUUUUAUCACUGCUGCAUCUUCAAGACAGAAGACACAUACCAGGUGCUCAAUUAACAUCUGCUGACACAGACAGAGCGAAUGAAUGAACCGGUGAACCUGCCCAACAGCCCCGAGGUGGGAAUUUAGCCCUUCUGACAGAAGCAGAAAGUGAAGUUCAGAAAGAGAAAGUAAGGACUUGCUCGAGCUGCCUCAGUUCCCCAUCACUAAAACGGAGGCCACAUCACUUGGUCCCAAGGGAAAAGGGGGUCUGGAUACCACGCUCGCCGAAACGGCCAAUACUCCCUCCACACUCAGGCUCCUGGGGGUGAGACAGGUACCAGAAUGCCCUGCCUGGUUUGCCUCCCGCCCAGGGCUGCUGGGAGAGGCAAGUGGAAUGAUGGGGGACCUGCUCUCCGAAGUGUGGCCAGAGAACUCUGCCUGGCCCUUUCCCAGGUGGACCUGACACGGUCUCUGCCUUCAAGGUCCCUCUGCACGGAGCUGGGGUUGUGCCUGAACGGGGCUGCCACCACCACGGCCCAAGCAAGAGCACCUUAUGAGUCUUGGAGACGCAGCCAGUGGAGCAGAGGGCAGAUGCUGCUCGGACAACCCAGAUUCCAGGCCGCCUUGGCCACUUAUCCUAGCUGGGCAGCCUCAGCUUCCUCCCCCGUAAAAAAAAAAAGGAUAAUCAAUCCAA